AAUAAGAAAUGAACAAAGAUUGG
RNAcentral lists this non-coding RNA (23 nucleotides) under Cricetulus griseus (Chinese hamster). Lineage: Eukaryota; Metazoa; Chordata; Mammalia; Rodentia; Cricetidae. The record is from RNAcentral.